AGCUUUGGCAAUCCAAAUCUUUUCCUAAUUGUUUUAUUUGCAAUGAUUCCAAAGCUGGGUGGGUAAAGAUCUCUUAAGUCUUUCUGUGUUUGAAUAAACCUAGAGGAAAGUUUUGAAGGUUGAUGUACUCCUGGUUUUAGGUCACUUAAAGGAAAAUCCAUCGGAAAGAAUCAGACAUAAACCUCUGCCUUCCAGUGGGACAACAUAACCAGGCCUUUCUUACCCGACAGUGCAACUGAAGGACCUGCCGUGCUGCACCUGGAUGUGGUGGAAAGUUCGAUGGCUUCAGCAGCUCUGAGCUGUGCUCCAGCUGCCCAGCAUGAUGUCUGCUUAAAAGGGCAGCUGUGCAACCAGGGAACACACCUGAUUAUUUCCUGAUCAGGGCUGUCCUGCGUAAAGGAGUGGUUUCCACUGUGUACCAUCCGGACGUGCAAUCUUCCCCUCCAGCACUGCUACUCCUUUCUCUGCUCUUGUCCUGGAGGUGGCUACAGAGGAGGCUUGAGAGUCCUGUGGGUCCCCUGCACUCAGCCUGUGCC
This 536-nucleotide long non-coding RNA is filed under the name Manacus vitellinus (golden-collared manakin). RNAcentral describes it as "lncRNA (ENSMVIG00005005165.1)". Lineage: Eukaryota; Metazoa; Chordata; Aves; Passeriformes; Pipridae. The record is from RNAcentral.